AUUGAACGCUGGCGGCAGGCUUAACACAUGCAAGUCGAGCGGAGUGAUGGUGCUUGCACUAUCACUUAGCGGCGGACGGGUGAGUAAUGCUUAGGAAUCUGCCUAUUAGUGGGGGACAACAUCUCGAAAGGGAUGCUAAUACCGCAUACGUCCUACGGGAGAAAGCAGGGGAUCACUUGUGACCUUGCGCUAAUAGAUGAGCCUAAGUCGGAUUAGCUAGUUGGUUGGGUAAAGGCCUACCAAGGCGACGAUCUGUAGCGGGUCUGAGAGGAUGAUCCGCCACACUCGGACUGAGACACGGCCCAGCCUCCUACGGGAGGCAGCAGUGGGGAAUAUUGGACAAUGGGGGGAACCCUGAUCCAGCCGUGCCGCGUGUGUGAAGAAGGCCUUAUGGUUGUAAAGCACUUUAAGCGAGGAGGAGGCUUACCUAGUUAAUACCUGGGAUAAGUGGACGUUACUCGCAGAAUAAGCACCGGCUAACUCUGUGCCAGCCGCCCCGUAA
This 502-nucleotide ribosomal RNA is filed under the name uncultured bacterium. Its description in RNAcentral is "partial 16S ribosomal RNA". It matches the Rfam family "Bacterial small subunit ribosomal RNA", at positions 30 to 523 of the family's 1533-position model. The record is from RNAcentral.